This is a small nucleolar RNA of Dioscorea cayenensis subsp. rotundata (Guinea yam), 107 nucleotides long. Lineage: Eukaryota; Viridiplantae; Streptophyta; Magnoliopsida; Dioscoreales; Dioscoreaceae. The record is from RefSeq and is a predicted model, not a curated record.
AAUCCGUGUUGUGGACACUUCCGCAAGAGACUCUUGAAUUGCACCAAUGUCUCAAAUAAGGAUUCAAGCUCCAUCUGAAAAAAUGACUAUAUCUCAUUAUGAAGCUU